This 463-nucleotide ribosomal RNA is filed under the name uncultured bacterium. RNAcentral describes it as "partial 16S ribosomal RNA". It matches the Rfam family "Bacterial small subunit ribosomal RNA", at positions 28 to 507 of the family's 1533-position model. The record is from RNAcentral.
GACGAACGCUGGCGGCGUGCUUAACACAUGCAAGUCGAGCGGAAAGGCCACUUCGUUGGUACUCUAGCGGCGAACGGGUGAGUAACACGUGCGUAAUCUGCCCCUCCCUUUGGGAUAGCCACCGCAAACGGUGACUAAUACCGGAAAUGACCAUAUUUCUCAUGGCGUUUGUUGGAUAGUGUUGCGGUGUUGGCUUUGCUCGCGGCCUAUCAGCUUGAUGGCGUGGGAAGGGCUGCCGAUUGCUUCGACGGGUAGCCGGCCUGAGAGGGCGGACGGUCACAAUGGGCCUGAGACACGGACCAGAAUCGUACGGGCGGCAGCAGUGGGGAGUAUUGCACAAUGGGCCGACGCCUGAGCCAGCAACGCCGCGUGAGGGAUGACGGCCUUCGGGUUGUAAACCUCUGUCAGUACAGACGAAGAGGAAGUGACGGUAGCUACAGAAGAAGCACCGGCUAACUACGUG